This 206-nucleotide ribosomal RNA is filed under the name uncultured bacterium. Its description in RNAcentral is "partial 16S ribosomal RNA". It matches the Rfam family "Bacterial small subunit ribosomal RNA", at positions 1287 to 1500 of the family's 1533-position model. The record is from RNAcentral.
CUCAGUUCGGAUCGGAGUCUGNAACCCGACUCCGUGAAGCUGGAUUCGCUAGUAAUCGCGCAUCAGCCAUGGCGCGGUGAAUACGUUCCCGGGCCUUGUACACACCGCCCGUCAAGCCAUGGGAGCCGGGGGUGCUUGAAGUGCGUCGCCGCAAGGCGCGCCCUAGAGCAAAACCGGUGACUGGGGCUAAGUCGUAACAAGGUAUC